GUUUUUAUACUUUGGCAACCCAUAUACUGAAACGAGAAUGAUAAAGAUUAACUUGGUCCCUGCACAAGGAUGAAAUCAAAUUUGUGAAGCAUUCCAUAUUUUU
This is a small nuclear RNA of Ursus americanus (American black bear), 103 nucleotides long. NCBI's taxonomy places the organism in Eukaryota, Metazoa, Chordata, Mammalia, Carnivora, Ursidae. The record is from Ensembl.